CAGCAGCCGCGGUAAAACAGAGGGUGCAAGCGUUAAUCGGAAUUACUGGGCGUAAAGCGCGCGUAGGUGGUUUGUUAAGUUGGAUGUGAAAGCCCCGGGCUCAACCUGGGAACUGCAUCCAAAACUGGCAAGCUAGAGUACGGUAGAGGGUGGUGGAAUUUCCUGUGUAGCGGUGAAAUGCGUAGAUAUAGGAAGGAACACCAGUGGCGAAGGCGACCACCUGGACUGAUACUGACACUGAGGUGCGAAAGCGUGGGGAGCAAACAGGAUUAGAUACCCGAGUAGUCCCUGUCUCUUAUAC
Molecule: ribosomal RNA, 301 nt
Filed under: uncultured bacterium
Lineage: Bacteria
Description: partial 16S ribosomal RNA
Rfam family: Bacterial small subunit ribosomal RNA
Source: RNAcentral